RNAcentral lists this long non-coding RNA (821 nucleotides) under Homo sapiens (human). RNAcentral describes it as "HSALNT0130828". Lineage: Eukaryota; Metazoa; Chordata; Mammalia; Primates; Hominidae. The record is from RNAcentral.
CAGAGCUCAGCUGGUAAUGCUUGCUCGCCCCCUGCUCACCUCCUGCUGUAUGGCCCAGUUCCUAACAAGCCACAGACCAGACCAGUCCAUGGCCUGGGGGUUGGGAUCCCUGCCUUAUAAGAAAAAUAAAUUUGGGGCGUGAGCCACCACGCCCAGCUGUGGCUUGCAAUUUUAAGACCAAGAGAGCCCCUGGCAAACUGGGGCAAGAAAGGAUAAGGAGCCCAAAUGACAGCUAGCCAGAACUUUCAUGUCUACAAAGGAGAAAAGUGAUGCUCAAAGUUGUGAUCUGCCAAGAGUCGCCAGUGAUAUAGUUUGGAUGUGUGUUCCCUCCGAAUCACAUGCUGAAAUGUGAUCCCCAAGGUUAGAGGUGGGGCCUGGUAGGAAGUGUUUGGGUCAUGGAGGUGGAUUCCUUGUGAAUGGUUUGAUGCUGUUCUCAUGUUAAUGAGUGAGUUCUCGCUCUGAGUUCAUGCAAGACCUGGUUAUUAAAAAGAGUCGGGGUUCCCCUCCCAAUUCCACCUCUCUUGCUCCCUCUCGCCACAUAUGCUGGCUCCCCUUCACCUUCUGCCAUGAUUGGAAGCUUCCUGAAGCCCUCACCAGAAGCAAAUGCCAACACUAUGCUUCGUGUACAGCCUUCCGAACUGUGAGCCAAAUAAACCUCUUUUCUUUGUAAAUUACCCAGGCUCAGGUAUUCCUUUACAGCAACGCAAAUUGACUAAUACACAAAAUUGGUACUGAGGAGUAGGGUGUUGCUAUAAAGAUAGAUACCUGAAGGUGUGGAAGUGGCUUUGGAGCUAAGUAAUGGGAAGAGGUAGAAGAGUUUG